Molecule: ribosomal RNA, 253 nt
Filed under: uncultured bacterium
Lineage: Bacteria
Description: partial 16S ribosomal RNA
Rfam family: Bacterial small subunit ribosomal RNA
Source: RNAcentral
UACAGAGGGGGCAAGCGUUGUUCGGAAUUACUGGGCGUAAAGCGUGCGCAGGCGGUUCGUUAAGUCAGAUGUGAAAGCCCCGGGCUCAACCUGGGAACUGCAUUUGAAACUGGCGGGCUUGAGUGUGGCAGAGGGGGGUGGAAUUCCGCGUGUAGCAGUGAAAUGCGUAGAGAUGCGGAGGAACACCGAUGGCGAAGGCAGCCCCCUGGGCCAACACUGACGCUCAGGCACGAAAGCGUGGGGAGCAAACAGG